This 254-nucleotide ribosomal RNA is filed under the name uncultured bacterium. RNAcentral's name for it is "partial 16S ribosomal RNA". It matches the Rfam family "Bacterial small subunit ribosomal RNA", at positions 524 to 776 of the family's 1533-position model. The record is from RNAcentral.
UACAUGGGGUGCAAACGUUGCUCGGAAUUAUUGGGCGUAAAGAGCUCGUAGGCGGUGUGUCGCGUCGGCCGUGAAAACCUGCAGCUUAACUGUGGGCUUGCGGUCGAUACGGGCAUCACUGGAGUUCGGCAGGGGAGACUGGAAUUCCUGGUGUAGCGGUGAAAUGCGCAGAUAUCAGGAGGAACACCGGUGGCGAAGGCGGGUCUCUGGGCCGAUACUGACGCUGAGGAGCGAAAGCGUGGGGAGCGAACAGG